This 74-nucleotide transfer RNA is filed under the name Gemmatimonadaceae bacterium. RNAcentral describes it as "tRNA-Arg". It matches the Rfam family "tRNA". Rfam says of the family: Transfer RNA (tRNA) molecules are approximately 80 nucleotides in length. Their secondary structure includes four short double-helical elements and three loops (D, anti-codon, and T loops). Further hydrogen bonds mediate the characteristic L-shaped molecular structure. tRNAs have two regions of fundamental functional importance: the anti-codon, which is responsible for specific mRNA codon recognition, and the 3' end, to which the tRNAs corresponding amino acid is attached (by aminoacyl-tRNA synthetases). tRNAs cope with the degeneracy of the genetic code in two manners: having more than one tRNA (with a specific anti-codon) for a particular amino acid; and 'wobble' base-pairing, i.e. permitting non-standard base-pairing at the 3rd anti-codon position. RNAcentral also lists the same sequence under 1 other name. Lineage: Bacteria; Pseudomonadati; Gemmatimonadota; Gemmatimonadia; Gemmatimonadales; Gemmatimonadaceae. The record is from RNAcentral.
GUCCCUGUAGCUCAAUUGGAUAGAGCGCAAGAUUCCUAAUCUUGAGGCUCCCGGUUCGAUUCCGGGCAGGGGCA